This 1473-nucleotide ribosomal RNA is filed under the name Mycoplasmopsis arginini. RNAcentral's name for it is "Mycoplasma arginini 16S ribosomal RNA". It matches the Rfam family "Bacterial small subunit ribosomal RNA". Lineage: Bacteria; Bacillati; Mycoplasmatota; Mycoplasmoidales; Metamycoplasmataceae. The record is from RNAcentral.
GCUCAGGAUGAACGCUGGCUGUGUGCCUAAUACAUGCAUGUCGAGCGAGGUUCUUUUGAACCUAGCGGCGAAUGGGUGAGUAACACGUGCUUAAUCUACCCUUUAGAUUGGAAUACCCAAUGGAAACAUUGGCUAAUGCCGGAUACGCAUGGAAUCGCAUGAUUCCGUUGUGAAAGGAGCCUUUAAAGCUCCGCUAGAGGAUGAGGGUGCGGAACAUUAGUUAGUUGGUAGGGUAAUGGCCUACCAAGACUAUGAUGUUUAGCCGGGUCGAGAGACUGAACGGCCACAUUGGGACUGAGAUACGGCCCAAACUCCUACGGGAGGCAGCAGUAGGGAAUAUUCCACAAUGAGCGAAAGCUUGAUGGAGCGACACAGCGUGCACGAUGAAGGUCUUCGGAUUGUAAAGUGCUGUUAUAGGGAAAGAACACCUGGUUGAGGAAAUGCUUCCAGGCUGACGGUACCCUGUCAGAAAGCGAUGGCUAACUAUGUGCCAGCAGCCGCGGUAAUACAUAGGUCGCAAGCGUUAUCCGGAAUUAUUGGGCGUAAAGCGUUCGUAGGCUGUUUAUUAAGUCUGGAGUCAAAUCCCAGGGCUCAACCCUGGCUCGCUUUGGAUACUGGUAAACUAGAGUUAGAUAGAGGUAAGCGGAAUUCCAUGUGAAGCGGUGAAAUGCGUAGAUAUAUGGAAGAACACCAAAGGCGAAGGCAGCUUACUGGGUCUAUACUGACGCUGAGGGACGAAAGCGUGGGGAGCAAACAGGAUUAGAUACCCUGGUAGUCCACGCCGUAAACGAUGAUCAUUAGUCGGUGGAGAGUUCACUGACGCAGCUAACGCAUUAAAUGAUCCGCCUGAGUAGUAUGCUCGCAAGAGUGAAACUUAAAGGAAUUGACGGGGACCCGCACAAGCGGUGGAGCAUGUGGUUUAAUUUGAAGAUACGCGGAGAACCUUACCCACUCUUGACAUCCUUCGCAAUGCUAUAGAGAUAUAGCGGAGGUUAACGGAGUGACAGAUGGUGCAUGGUUGUCGUCAGCUCGUGUCGUGAGAUGUUUGGUCAAGUCCUGCAACGAGCGCAACCCCUAUCUUUAGUUACUAACGAGUCAUGUCGAGGACUCUAGAGAUACUGCCUGGGUAACUGGGAGGAAGGUGGGGAUGACGUCAAAUCAUCAUGCCUCUUACGAGUGGGGCAACACACGUGCUACAAUGGNCGGUACAAAGAGAAGCAAUAUGGCGACAUGGAGCAAAUCUCAAAAAGCCGAUCUCAGUUCGGAUUGGAGUCUGCAAUUCGACUCCAUGAAGUCGGAAUCGCUAGUAAUCGCAGAUCAGCUACGCUGCGGUGAAUACGUUCUCGGGUCUUGUACACACCGCCCGUCACACCAUGGGAGCUGGUAAUACCCAAAGUCGGUUAGCUAACCUCGGAGGCGACCGCCUAAGGUAGGACUGGUGACUGGGGUGAAGUCGUAACAAGGUAUCCCUAC